RNAcentral lists this ribosomal RNA (499 nucleotides) under uncultured Glomeromycotina. Its description in RNAcentral is "partial small subunit ribosomal RNA". It matches the Rfam family "Eukaryotic small subunit ribosomal RNA", at positions 591 to 1092 of the family's 1831-position model. Lineage: Eukaryota; Fungi; Glomeromycota. The record is from RNAcentral.
CCAAUAGCGUAUAUUAAAGUUGUUGCAGUUAAAAAGCUCGUAGUUGAAUUUCGGGAUCAGACUGUCGGUCGUGCCUCGGUACGCACUGGCAUUAUUGGUUCCUACCUUCUGAAGAACCGCGAUGUCAUUAAUUUGGUGUCGUGGGGAAUCAGGACUGUUACUUUGAAAAAAUUAGAGUGUUUAAAGCAGGCGCACGCUUGAAUACAUUAGCAUGGAAUAAUGAAAUAGGACGUAUGAUUCUAUUUUGUUGGUUUCUAGGAUCGUCGUAAUGAUUAAUAGGGAUAGUUGGGGGCAUUAGUAUUCAAUUGUCAGAGGUGAAAUUCUUGGAUUUAUUGAAGACUAACUACUGCGAAAGCAUUUGCCAAGGAUGUUUUCAUUAAUCAAGAACGAAAGUUAGGGGAUCGAAGACGAUCAGAUACCGUCGUAGUCUUAACCAUAAACUAUGCCGACUAGGGAUCAGAUGAUGUUAAUUUUUUAAUGACUCGUUUGGCGCCUUACG